RNAcentral lists this transfer RNA (74 nucleotides) under Nippostrongylus brasiliensis. It matches the Rfam family "tRNA". Rfam says of the family: Transfer RNA (tRNA) molecules are approximately 80 nucleotides in length. Their secondary structure includes four short double-helical elements and three loops (D, anti-codon, and T loops). The record is from Rfam by way of RNAcentral. Lineage: Eukaryota; Metazoa; Nematoda; Chromadorea; Rhabditida; Heligmosomidae.
GUGUCAGUGGCGUAGUGGUUAGCGCACGAGCCUCGGUUAGGCGCCAGACGCGGGUUCGAAUCCCGCCCGAAGUG